Molecule: ribosomal RNA, 253 nt
Filed under: uncultured bacterium
Lineage: Bacteria
Description: partial 16S ribosomal RNA
Rfam family: Bacterial small subunit ribosomal RNA
Source: RNAcentral
UACAGAGGGUGCAAGCGUUGCUCGGAAUUAUUGGGCGUAAAGGGUAGGUAGGUGGUCUCAUUUGUCUGGGGUGAAAUCCUUGGGCUUAACCCAAGAAGUGCCCCAGAAACGGUGAGACUGGAGUCCUGGAGAGGGUCGUGGAAUUCCCGGUGUAGCGGUGAAAUGCGUAGAGAUCCGGAGGAACACCAAAGGCGAAGGCAGUGUCCUGGGGAGUACCUGACGCUCAGGUGCGAAAGCCAGGGGAGCGAACGGG